CAUCUAGCAUGUGCGCAAGUCAUUGGGUAUUUAUAAUAAACCUAAAGGCGUAAUGAAAGUAAAUAUAUAUAUAAUUUUUAUAAUUAUAUUUUAUAAAGGGAAGAUUGGUAACGUUAUUUAUGUUACCUCGCAUUCCCGGGGCGUCGCAUACUUAUUGCAAGUUGCGGCGCACCAAGAGCGUACACGCUGGGACCCGAAAGAUGGUGAACUAUGCCUGGUCAGGAUGAAGUCAGGGGAAACCCUGAUGGAGGUCCGUAGCGAUUCUGACGUGCAAAUCGAUCGUAUGAACUGGGUAUAGGGGCGAAAGACUAAUCGAACCAU
RNAcentral lists this ribosomal RNA (321 nucleotides) under Blackburnia depressa. RNAcentral describes it as "eukaryotic LSU rRNA". It matches the Rfam family "Eukaryotic large subunit ribosomal RNA", at positions 674 to 943 of the family's 3401-position model. The record is from RNAcentral. Lineage: Eukaryota; Metazoa; Arthropoda; Insecta; Coleoptera; Carabidae.